GCCCCCCCCCCCCCCACACACACACACACACACCAACAAAGAGGCGUUAGGCUGAGACGCUGAAAGUCCGGAUUUAAAGUGCAGAAAAUUAAGCCAUUGAAUCUGCCUGUCCAUGACGUACAAAGACACACUAUGAGCCAGUAUGAUCCGACCAGACCUUACAUCAGCAUUGAGGAGUUGUCGGAGAAGAAAGAGGCUGAUUGAAGCGGGACAGAUGACAUGGAUCCAUCCUUCCACAGCCAGGAGCGCACCGACCUGUGUCCCACACUUCAUAUAAGACUGGAAGCUACACUGAUCUCACAGCUACACACCACAGACGUCUACACACUGGAGAAGAUUCAGACAGAGUCCCACAAAGAAGUCAUGACCCAGAGGCUGCAGAGAAACAUUUCAAGCCUCAUCUGAGUUUUUGUACGAUAUUUUUGCUGUAUGU
Limanda limanda (common dab) is the source of this 433-nucleotide long non-coding RNA. RefSeq lists it as uncharacterized. NCBI's taxonomy places the organism in Eukaryota, Metazoa, Chordata, Actinopteri, Pleuronectiformes, Pleuronectidae. The transcript is spliced from 3 exons. The record is from RefSeq and is a predicted model, not a curated record.